RNAcentral lists this ribosomal RNA (253 nucleotides) under uncultured bacterium. RNAcentral describes it as "partial 16S ribosomal RNA". It matches the Rfam family "Bacterial small subunit ribosomal RNA", at positions 524 to 776 of the family's 1533-position model. The record is from RNAcentral.
UACGAGGGGGGCAAGCGUUGUUCGGAAUUACUGGGCGUAAAGGGCUCGUAGGUGGCCAACUAAGUCGGACGUGAAAUCCCUCAGCUUAACUGGGGAACUGCGUCCGAUACUGGAUGGCUCGAGUUUGGGAGAGGGAUGCGGAAUUCCAGGUGUAGCGGUGAAAUGCGUAGAUAUCUGGAGGAAUACCGGUGGCGCAGGCGGCAUCCUGGACCGACAUUGACGCUGAGGAGCGAAAGCCAGGGGAGCAAACGGG